Molecule: ribosomal RNA, 253 nt
Filed under: uncultured bacterium
Lineage: Bacteria
Description: partial 16S ribosomal RNA
Rfam family: Bacterial small subunit ribosomal RNA
Source: RNAcentral
UACAGAGGUGGCAAGCGUUGUUCGGAAUUACGGGGCGUAAAGGGCGCGUAGGCGGCCUUCUAAGUCAGACGUGAAAUCCCCCGGCUUAACCUGGGAACUGCGUCUGAUACUGGAGGGCUUGAGUGCGGGAGAGGGAUGUGGAAUUCCAGGUGUAGCGGUGAAAUGCGUAGAUAUCUGGAGGAACACCGGUGGCGAAGGCGGCAUCCUGGACCGACACUGACGCUGAGGCGCGAAAGCGUGGGGAGCGAACAGG